AAGUCAUAACAAGGUUUCUGUAGGUGAACCUGCAGAAGGAUCAUUAUUGAAUUGUAAAAAUGGGAGGUUGCUUUCGAGCACCUCUCUACACAUUUUCUUUAUUCCUAAACACCUGUGAAUCGUUGCUGAGUUUGCUCAGUGGCACCAAUUUUAACACAAACACUUAUAGUUUUGAACGUAUAAAACAAAAAACAAAAUAUAA
This 202-nucleotide unclassified non-coding RNA is filed under the name plant metagenome. Its description in RNAcentral is "partial contains small subunit ribosomal RNA and internal transcribed spacer 1". The stretch from base 1 to 46 matches the Rfam family "Eukaryotic small subunit ribosomal RNA", at positions 1786 to 1831 of the family's 1831-position model. The record is from RNAcentral.